Long non-coding RNA from Triticum aestivum (bread wheat), 890 nucleotides. RefSeq lists it as uncharacterized. The record is from RefSeq and is a predicted model, not a curated record. The transcript is spliced from 3 exons. Lineage: Eukaryota; Viridiplantae; Streptophyta; Magnoliopsida; Poales; Poaceae.
GUUGCCCGUCCGGGCCCUUGCGGCAGGUCGAUGUCACACGGCGCUGGAGACUCCCCUGGUGGCCAUCCAUGGAUGCGGCGUCUCUAUUGUGCAGGCGGGUCUACUCUCCCUCUUGAGGCGAGUGUGGAUGUAAUGGAUAUUGAUUGUGGUUGUUCGGACAAAAAUAUUGCAUGGAAACAUUAUAUACUGAUGGAGAGGAGUAGUUGUGGAGCGGGUCGUGGGAGAGACGGUUGGUUAGCAUGGGCUGGACGGGAAGGUGAUGCCUGCGAUGGCGACCAAGCCGGCGGGUAGGGCAGGGGCGACUGUGGCCAUUGUGGUGUUUUCAAGGGAGAGCGAGGCAACUGCAAUCACGCAACUGAAGAAGUCGAAACCCGGGGCGAAGUUGGCCAACAUGAAAGCUGACAAACCUAAAUGCCGGUGAUAGGUUGUUCGCUGCUGUCGCGCCGUCUUUGAACUUGGUGGAGAGGCAGAACGGCAGAAGGAGAACGGUGGCGCCGUGAAGACCUUGACGACUGCUGCCAUGACCACAACCAUGAUGAUUGUGUUGGUAAUAAAGAUACUAAUUAUAUACAAAUCCCCCAGCUUUGAAAACAUUAGAUUAUCCAACUUAUUAUUCAAAUUCUUGAUUCAAGAUAAAUGGAAAUUUCCUAUAUACAAUGAGCUUAUUAUUUUUUUUAGAAAAGGAGGAUGACACCCGGCCUCUCCAUCUGGGAGAUGCAUACGGUCACUUUAUUGAUUAUUCUCGAGGACCUUACAAAGUAUUACAACAAUAUGCCUGAAUCCAUCAUCUUGGCAUCUGCCGCUACUUCUAUCCAUACAAUGAGCUUAUUAUUGAAGGUUGCAUCGAUUAUGCUAUUAUUACUGAAAUAAGAGGCUUAUGAAAUUUUCAA